GAUCAAGCUACAAAGGGCGCACGGUGAAUGCCCUGGCACUAGGAGCCGAUGAAGGACGUGAUAAGCUGCGAUAAGCUACAUGUAGGCGCACACAGCCUGUGAUAUGUAGAUUUCCGAAUGGGAAAACCCAUCUAGUUAUGCUAGAUACUGUAUACCGAAUACAUAGGUAUAUGGAGGUACACCUGGGGAACUGAAACAUCUAAGUACCCAGAGGAAGAGAAAGAAAAUUCGAUUCCCUAAGUAGCGGCGAGCGAAAGGGGAAGAGCCCAAACCAGGAACUUGUUCCUGGGGGUGCGGAUAGAUCAUAACGCUUUGAUUUCUUUAGUUGAAGAGAACUGGAAAGUUCCGUCGUAGAAGGUAAUAACCCUGUAGGCGAAAAGGAAAGAAAAGGAGAUCUACUCCAGAGUACCACGAGACACGUGAAACCUUGUGGGAAGCUGGGAGGACCAUCUCCCAAGGCUAAAUACUACCUAGUGACCGAUAGUGAAGCAGUACC
RNAcentral lists this ribosomal RNA (496 nucleotides) under Clostridium botulinum C/D str. DC5. RNAcentral describes it as "bacterial LSU rRNA". It matches the Rfam family "Bacterial large subunit ribosomal RNA", at positions 1 to 502 of the family's 2925-position model. Lineage: Bacteria; Bacillati; Bacillota; Clostridia; Eubacteriales; Clostridiaceae. The record is from RNAcentral.